CAUGUCUUUUUGAUAAUAAUAUAAAGUCUGACCUGCCCUAUGAUUUUAAAAUUAAAUGGCCGCGAUAUUUUGAUCGUGCAAAGGUAGCAUAAUCAUUAGUUUCUUAAUUAGGAACUGGAAUGAAAGGUUGAACGAGAAAAAAACUGUCUCAAUUUAAUUUAAUUAGAAUUUUAUUUUUGAGUAAAAAAGCUUAAAUAAUUUUAAAAGACGAGAAGACCCUAUAGAGUUUAAUAUUUAAUAAAUUUUAAAAAAUAUAUAGUAUAUAAUUUUUUAUUUUUUAUAGAAUAUUUAGUUGGGGUGACUAUAAAAUUGAAUAAACUUUUUUUAAUUUUAAACAUUGAUAUAUGAAUAAUUGAUCCAUAAAUUAUGAUUAAAAGAUUAAAUUACCUUAGGGAUAACAGCGUUAUUUUUUUUAAGAGUUCAUAUCGAAAAAAAAGUUUGCGACC
This 446-nucleotide ribosomal RNA is filed under the name Helictopleurus quadripunctatus. Its description in RNAcentral is "partial 16S ribosomal RNA". The record is from RNAcentral. Lineage: Eukaryota; Metazoa; Arthropoda; Insecta; Coleoptera; Scarabaeidae.